CGUUACGCUCUUAAGAUGAAUUUAACCACACUCUAUAUGCAGUCUUCAUUCAUACUGGACUUUUACAGAUCUUUUCUCAGUGUCAUCCAGACUGACUGGACAGAGAAGAAACUACUGAACCGUCCUUUUCCUCUUUUGACCAACAGAAUAAAUACGGGGGGGUGGUAAAGAUGUGCCCUUUUUAAAAGUGUUUCACAGUUUCAGAACAUUUAGCCAAUAGGCUGCCUUAUAUGAUUAAUUUGUCCUUUGGAUAAAUACCCGGAUGGAAACGCCUGGCUGGGAGAGCGAGGCUUCUGCACCACCACAGACUCAAAGGCAGGAGAGUGGCUCGUGUCCUACCAUGGGACAUCAAAGAUCGGCGCUCAAGGCAUCAUCAUAUCACAAUUCAGGAUUCUCCUGUUGGAUCUUCCAGCUCCAACUCUGCAGCCUCAAGAGAAACUGCUCAUCGACCUAAACAACACCCCCGACUUGAUCCGGACCAAUGGCAAGACCUGCACCACAACUCAGCAGCUGAUCGACCUGAGCUCUCCGCUCAUCAGGUGGAGUCCAGAAGACAAGAAGGAGGACAACGCUCCGCUCAUCAACCUCUCCUUCUGAUCCACAUCCUCCUGAACACGUGGACCUGCUGGCCUCUGCAGUAAACUGGACUCAACAGGUUUCUGUCUCCAGAAACUCUGUUGAUGAUCCAGUUAAGACAACGACAGAGUUUUGAAUCAGUGAAAUCUUUACUGAAUUCGGAGUAUUAUGUUUUAAAUUAUGAAAAUAUUCAGAGGAUGCUGAUGUUUUUCUGCACCUGACUGUACUUUUCAUCGUCUCUGUCUCGCUGCUCUUAUUAAUGUUUGAAUAAAUGUUGUUCUUGUCACUACUGUA
Long non-coding RNA from Hippoglossus stenolepis (Pacific halibut), 870 nucleotides. RefSeq lists it as uncharacterized. The record is from RefSeq and is a predicted model, not a curated record. The transcript is spliced from 3 exons. NCBI's taxonomy places the organism in Eukaryota, Metazoa, Chordata, Actinopteri, Pleuronectiformes, Pleuronectidae.